Molecule: long non-coding RNA, 2417 nt
Organism: Bradysia coprophila
Lineage: Eukaryota; Metazoa; Arthropoda; Insecta; Diptera; Sciaridae
Source: RefSeq, a predicted model, not a curated record
CAUUUCCACUUUGAUUUCAGGUGGGAUCGACCCAUCGAAAAAUGCAAGACCAACCGAUUCUUGAGGUACCACGAAUGUCGACUCAUUUUUUUAAUGAUUUUGGCACUAACAGUACAUUCAUGGAUUGGUCGAGUAAGACAGUUUUCAAAAAUUCAAAGUCUUGAAAGGGAGCCUCCGCUGGUAUGGGACAUCGAAACCAAGCUUUCACAUAAUGCUGAAUUAUGAAGAUUGACACCUCCCUCAACCCAUUCAAGUCUGUUGAAUUCAGGCCAAAUUGGUGACGAAACAUAAAAAUCUUUAGACUAUAAAUGGCCUUCGACAUCCACCUCGCGUGAUGGUUUGCGCCGGGUGGAUGAAAGACCACUUGGCCUUCACUUUUUUCUAGUUUCUCCCCAAUGAAGAGUAGUGCCAGCUCCAACAGCUCUCUAUAGUCAGAUCUGUCGCAAAUGAAAGAAAGUUAGAUGUCAUCUUCUCACGGCGGCGAUAUUCCACUUACAUACCUAAAAAAUUUUCCUCUCAUUUUAUCUAUUAUGAAUUCUUUGAUGCGGGCUCUGAAUUGAGGCGUCAAGACUGCUGCAACUUUUUCAUCAGAAGUUCCGGGACUGUACUUUUUCGGGUCGAUGUUUUUCCAGGCAUUUUUGAAAUCGUCGAAAAGUUUCACCUUGUCCGAUUUUGUUUCGCCCAUGAAAAAUUCGUAAACUAGCCUCAAAAUCAGCUCGUAUAUGUGGUGACGACAAGGGAAAAACUGUAAAUGUUUGCCAAGCAUCCUUUCUAAUCUGAGAGCAGCCCCUUUGAUCUGGCCAGAAUUUACAUAAGUGGUAUCGAAGCAUAGUGAAACUAUAAAUUCGUUAAGAUCCCAAUCUUGAAUUAACUUGAAAACUGUUUCCGCCACAUUCAGUCCUUUCUCUCCAGAUAUUGGACAACCCAAGAUUUGUUCCUCAUUGUCACACAGCGCUUUUACCACCACCCGUUCUACUAACUUACGAUCAGUAAUGUUCUGAACACAUUUUCCAUCCCAGUGUAUUUUUACUAACUUUUCAGCUCCCUGCGAUACAUAAUUCUGUUUAACAAUGACACGGUUUAUAGUUAGCCUUUGCUGCACAAAAAAAUCCAAAAAUAAAUUUAGACUUACUAUGAAAUUGUCUUGUAUCUCAUGGAACUUCGUUCCUCUAUUUGCCUGCCGUUUACGUCUUAUUGUUGAAGUGCUUAACACAUAAUGGUUCGGAUUCAAUUUCAAUGCCUUUCAAAUAAGAAUGCUAUCAACUUUAACGAAUGAUGAGAGAAACUUUGCAAAUACCUUUAACGUCGGUACUAGCAAACGCAUCAUACAAGGGUUACUGACUCUACAUUUGUCAAUUGCAGAAGCCAUGUCGCUGUUAAUGAAUUUAAUUUUGGGGCUUGUCGCAGACUCUGCUUGAUAGUCUUCGUCACUAUCGGUCGCUGUGGCUGAGGCACUUUUACUGGAUGCACUUGAUUCAUCCCUAGGAGGUACUUCAAUAUUUUCAUUGGUUUGUACAUUUGCACUGGAAGUCGGUUUCGGUGCUUCUUGUUCUGUGCGUUUUCUUUGUCUGCCUAAUUUACCUAUCACACCUGCAAAUCAAUAUGAACAUCUGUGUAAUAAUUGACAAGGCAACCACGAAAAUGAUAUUUUUAUACCAGGCCGACCAGGUUUUCGUUGAUUUUCCAAAAACGCUCUAAUUUCCUUGUCAUCAAUGAUGUCCAGCGCAUUUAUUGUCGAAAUGUCGAACAAGUUUUCCAGUUCGACGAUAAAUUUUUCUGUUUUAGUUUUCUCUACAGGAAACAUUGGACGAGUGCGUUUUAAUGAUUUCUUAACAUCCCGAUAUUCUUCGUAAAGGUCACAUAUGUGUUUUGUAACAGUUUUGUAGUGCUUUAAAGCAAUUGUUGGAAUGUUUGCAUAAAAUUUAAUUAUUUCGUCGUAAACUGCUUUCGCAAUAUCAUUUUGACUCAUUCUUGUAUUGGAAUUGAGAAGGUGUGAAAAGAAUCCUAACACUCGUCUGUUUGACGGCAAUUUUAUACCAGCUAUUUUCCUUAUUGGCUCAAUCGACAAUUCGGAUUCUUUACUUCCUCCGGAACUCGAGGAGCGACCUGACGAGCUUCGAGAUCCCGAAGUGUGGCGAACUCUGUCUCGCAAUUGAGUGGAGACAAUAGUAGUUGACAAUUCAGAAGAAUCCGCCUGAGACGUACUCGCCGAAGUUGCGAAAAUGGAGGAAUCUUGAGUCGAAAUUGAACAGCCCGUCGAACUUUCACUUCCUGCCAAAGUAUUGCUUCCACUUUCAGACAGACUGGAACUCGAAAUUUCCGUCGGCACUUCACUUUUCGAUCGCUUUCGAGCUCUCUUGGAACUUGGAUCUGAAAUCCGUUUACUAGUUCCCGGUUUAUUCGACAUAGUAAAUCUU